RNAcentral lists this ribosomal RNA (253 nucleotides) under uncultured bacterium. RNAcentral's name for it is "partial 16S ribosomal RNA". It matches the Rfam family "Bacterial small subunit ribosomal RNA", at positions 524 to 776 of the family's 1533-position model. The record is from RNAcentral.
GACAGAGGGGGCAAGCGUUGCUCGGAAUCACUGGGCGUAAAGGGCGCGUAGGCGGGAUGGCAAGUCGGUCGUGAAAUCCUUCGGCCCAACCGAAGAACGUCGGCCGAUACUGCCGUUCUUGAGGGAUGCAGAGGAGACUGGAAUUCCCGGUGUAGCGGUGAAAUGUGUAGAGAUCGGGAGGAACACCGGUGGCGAAGGCGGGUCUCUGGAACGCAACUGACGCUGAGACGCGAAAGCGUGGGGAGCAAACAGG